Molecule: ribosomal RNA, 492 nt
Filed under: uncultured bacterium
Lineage: Bacteria
Description: partial 16S ribosomal RNA
Rfam family: Bacterial small subunit ribosomal RNA
Source: RNAcentral
AGUGAACGCUGGCGGUAGGCCUAACACAUGCAAGUCGAACGGCAGCACAGUAAGAGCUUGCUCUUACAGGUGGCGAGUGGCGGACGGGUGAGGAAUACAUCGGAAUCUACUUUUUCGUGGGGGAUAACGUAGGGAAACUUACGCUAAUACCGCAUACGACCUACGGGUGAAAGCAUGGGAUCUUCGGACCUUGCGCGAUUGAAUGAGCCGAUGUCGGAUUAGCUAGUUGGCGGGGUAAAGGCCCACCAAGGCGACGAUCCGUAGCUGGUCUGAGAGGAUGAUCAGCCACACUGGAACUGAGACACGGUCCAGACUCCUACGGGAGGCAGCAGUGGGGAAUAUUGGACAAUGGGCGCAAGCCUGAUCCAGCCAUACCGCGUGGGUGAAGAAGGCCUUCGGGUUGUAAAGCCCUUUUGUUGGGAAAGAAAAGCAGCAGGUUAAUACCCCGCUGUUCUGACGGUACCCAAAGAAUAAGCACCGGCUAACUUCGUG